UAGUAACACUCAAGCAAAAUGCCUUUUAGUUUGAGCCCCCGAAACUUAGCGAGCUACUCCAAGACAGCCUAUCUUAGGGCAAACCCGUCUCUGUUGCAAAAGAGUGGGAAGAUCUUUGAGUAGAGGUGAUAAACCUACCGAGCUUAGUUAUAGCUGGUUGCCUACGAAAUGAAUAGAAGUUCAGCCUUUACCCUUCUUUCCUCCCUCCUGCACAUACUUACCCGAGACACAAAGAAGGCUUAAGAGUUAUUCGAAGGGGGAACAGCCCCCUCGAAAAAAGACACAACUUUAUUUAGCAGGUUAAAGAUUAAAAUAUCUUAGGCAGACUACCUUGGUGG
Molecule: ribosomal RNA, 338 nt
Filed under: Eucyclogobius newberryi (tidewater goby)
Lineage: Eukaryota; Metazoa; Chordata; Actinopteri; Gobiiformes; Gobiidae
Description: partial 16S ribosomal RNA
Rfam family: Bacterial large subunit ribosomal RNA
Source: RNAcentral